GAUGAACGCUAGCGGCAGGCUUAACACAUGCAAGUCGAGGGGUAUUGGUUUUCGGACCAAGAGACCGGCGCACGGGUGCGUAACGCGUAUGCAAUCUACCUUUUGCAGAGGGAUAGCCCAGAGAAAUUUGGAUUAAUACCUCAUAGUAUAGUACUUUGGCAUCAAGGAACUAUUAAAGUCACAACGGCAAAGAUGAGCAUGCGUCCCAUUAGCUAGUUGGUAAGGUAACGGCUUACCAAGGCUACGAUGGGUAGGGUCCUGAGAGGGAGAUCCCCCACACUGGUACUGAGACACGGACCAGACUCCUGCGGGAGGCAGCAGUGAGGAAUAUUGGACAAUGGGCGCAAGCCUGAUCCAGCCAUGCCGCGUGCAGGAUGACGGUCCUAUGGAUUGUAAACUGCUUUUAUACAGGAAGAAACACUCCGACGUGUCGGAGCUUGACGGUACUGUAAGAA
RNAcentral lists this ribosomal RNA (455 nucleotides) under uncultured bacterium. RNAcentral's name for it is "bacterial SSU rRNA". It matches the Rfam family "Bacterial small subunit ribosomal RNA", at positions 28 to 486 of the family's 1533-position model. The record is from RNAcentral.